RNAcentral lists this microRNA (24 nucleotides) under Pristionchus pacificus. RNAcentral's name for it is "ppc-miR-8221-3p". Lineage: Eukaryota; Metazoa; Nematoda; Chromadorea; Rhabditida; Neodiplogasteridae. The record is from miRBase by way of RNAcentral.
UAACCGGAUACCCCCAUCCCGCUU